This 74-nucleotide ribozyme is filed under the name unclassified sequences. RNAcentral's name for it is "Twister_sister_ribozyme". It matches the Rfam family "Twister_sister_ribozyme". The record is from Rfam by way of RNAcentral.
AUAAGGCCCAAGGCCCAGUCCCGUGGAAGCCGGGACCGCCCCCUUCGGGGGGCGCGGCGCUGACAGCCGGAACG